UAUGUAGGCGGGUUUUUAAGUCGGGUGUGAAAUCCCACGGCUCAACCGUGGAAUUGCAUUCGAAACUGGAAAUCUUGAGUGUGGGAGAGAUUGGUAGAAUACCUGGUGUAGUGGUGAAAUACGUAGAUAUCAGGUGGAAUACCGGUGGCGAAGGCGGCCAAUUGGCCCAACACUGACGCUGAGAUACGAGAGCGUGGGGAUCAAACA
This 207-nucleotide ribosomal RNA is filed under the name uncultured bacterium. Its description in RNAcentral is "partial 16S ribosomal RNA". It matches the Rfam family "Bacterial small subunit ribosomal RNA", at positions 568 to 774 of the family's 1533-position model. The record is from RNAcentral.